This 70-nucleotide transfer RNA is filed under the name Lates niloticus (Nile perch). Its description in RNAcentral is "tRNA-Met". The record is from RNAcentral. Lineage: Eukaryota; Metazoa; Chordata; Actinopteri; Centropomidae.
AGUAUGGUCAGCUAACCAAAGCUAUUGGGCCCAUACCCCAAAAAUGAAGGUUGAACCCCCUCCUAUACUA